CUACGGGUGGCUGCAGGCGAGAAAACUUUGCAAUGUGCGAAAGCACGACAAGGUUAAUCCGAGUGGUUUGUGCUAAACGAACCUUUUGACAGUCCUAGAAACACUGUUGAAUAAGGGGUGGGCAAGUUCUGGUGUCAGCCGCCGCGGUAAAACCAGCACCUCAAGUGGUAAGGAUGAUUAUUGGGCCUAAAGCAUCCGUAGCCGGCUCUAUAAGUUUUCGGUUAAAUCUGUACGCUCAACGUACAGGCUGCCGGGAAUACUGCAGAGCUAGGGAGUGGGAGAGGUAGACGGUACUCGGUAGGAAGGGGUAAAAUCCUUUGAUCUAUUGAUGACCACCUGUGGCGAAGGCGGUCUACCAGAACACGUCCGACGGUGAGGGAUGAAAGCUGGGGGAGCAAACCGGAUUAGAUACCCCUGUAGUC
RNAcentral lists this ribosomal RNA (422 nucleotides) under uncultured archaeon. RNAcentral's name for it is "partial 16S ribosomal RNA". It matches the Rfam family "Archaeal small subunit ribosomal RNA", at positions 323 to 746 of the family's 1478-position model. The record is from RNAcentral.